GAAGAAGACUACUCUGCUGAUCA
RNAcentral lists this non-coding RNA (23 nucleotides) under Arabidopsis thaliana (thale cress). Lineage: Eukaryota; Viridiplantae; Streptophyta; Magnoliopsida; Brassicales; Brassicaceae. The record is from RNAcentral.